This 24-nucleotide non-coding RNA is filed under the name Arabidopsis thaliana (thale cress). The record is from RNAcentral. Lineage: Eukaryota; Viridiplantae; Streptophyta; Magnoliopsida; Brassicales; Brassicaceae.
UCUAAUAUAGGCCUCAAUUAGGUC